GUUUUAAUAAUUUAAUAUCAAAAAUAUUGGUCUUGUAAACCAAAAAUGAAUAAUAUUCUUAAAACU
This 66-nucleotide transfer RNA is filed under the name Orestes mouhotii. RNAcentral describes it as "tRNA-Thr". It matches the Rfam family "tRNA". From Rfam's summary of the family: Transfer RNA (tRNA) molecules are approximately 80 nucleotides in length. The record is from RNAcentral. Lineage: Eukaryota; Metazoa; Arthropoda; Insecta; Phasmatodea; Heteropterygidae.